This 495-nucleotide ribosomal RNA is filed under the name uncultured bacterium. RNAcentral's name for it is "partial 16S ribosomal RNA". It matches the Rfam family "Bacterial small subunit ribosomal RNA", at positions 28 to 507 of the family's 1533-position model. The record is from RNAcentral.
GACGAACGCUGGCGGCGUGCCUAAUACAUGCAAGUAGAACGCUGAAGGAGGAGCUUGCUUCUCUGGAUGAGUUGCGAACGGGUGAGUAACGCGUAGGUAACCUGCCUGGUAGUGGGGGAUAACUCUUGGAAACGAUAGCUAAUACCGCAUAAUAGCAGUUGUUGCAUGAUAACUGUUUGAAAGAUGCAAUUGUACCGCUACCAGAUGGACCUGCGUUGCAUUAGCUAGUUGGUGGGGUAACGGCUCACCAAGGCGACGAAACAUAGCCGACCCCAGAGGGGUAUCGGCCCAACUUGGACUUGGACACGGCCCAGACUCCUAAGGGAGGGAGCAGGAGGGAAUCCUUGGAAAAGGACGGAAGGCUGACCGAGCAACGCCGGGGGAGGGAAGAAGGUUGUCGGAUCGUAAAGAUCGUUUGUAAGGGAAGAACGAGUGUGAGAGUUGAAAGUUCACACUGUGACGGUACCUAAUCAGAAAGGGACGGCUAACUACGUG